AAAAAAGUCAGCUGCCAGCGAGUUUAGAUGCUUGUUGGAACCAGAAUUAACUGAAUAACAAAAAACAUUAUUUGAGAAACAUUCUGGUUGCCAACAUUCACAACUAUUAUUAUUCACAAACUGCUGCACGACCACCUGCAGAUCUGACUGAAUUAAAAAAAAAUGUGCCCCAACCCAACAAGACUGUAGAAUAUGCAUUUAAAAUGCCAUUUAAGCAAGCAAAGUC
RNAcentral lists this long non-coding RNA (226 nucleotides) under Gallus gallus (chicken). Lineage: Eukaryota; Metazoa; Chordata; Aves; Galliformes; Phasianidae. The record is from RNAcentral.